Molecule: ribosomal RNA, 514 nt
Filed under: uncultured bacterium
Lineage: Bacteria
Description: partial 16S ribosomal RNA
Rfam family: Bacterial small subunit ribosomal RNA
Source: RNAcentral
GAUGAACGCUGGCGGCGUGCCUAAUACAUGCAAGUCGAGCGAACAGAUGAGAAGCUUGCUUCUCUGAUGUUAGCGGCGGACGGGUGAGUAACACGUGGGUAACCUACCUAUAAGACUGUAAUAACUCCGGGAAACCGGGGCUAAUACCGGCUAAUAUUUUGAACCGCAUGGUUCAAUAGUGAAAGACGGUUUCGGCUGUCACUUAUAGAUGGACCCGCGCCGUAUUAGCUAGUUGGUAAGGUAACGGCUUACCAAGGCGACGAUACGUAGCCGACCUGAGAGGGUGAUCGGCCACAUUGGAACUGAGACACGGUCCAGACUCCUACGGGAGGCAGCAGUAGGGAAUCUUCCGCAAUGGGCGAAAGCCUGACGGAGCAACGCCGCGUGAGUGAUGAAGGUCUUCGGAUCGUAAAACUCUGUUGUUAGGGAAGAACAAAUUUGUUAGUAACUGAACAAGUCUUGACGGUACCUAACCAGAAAGCCACGGCUAACUACGUGCCAGCCGCCGCCGUAA